UACGUAGGUGGCAAGCGUUGUCCGGAAUUAUUGGGCGUAAAGCGCGCGCAGGCGGUUUCUUAAGUCUGAUGUGAAAGCCCCCGACUCAACCGGGGAGGGUCAUUGGAAACUGGGAAACUUGAGUGCAGAAGAGGAAAGUGGAAUUCCAAGUGUAGCGGUGAAAUGCGUAGAGAUUUGGAGGAACACCAGUGGCGAAGGCGACUUUCUGGUCUGUAACUGACGCUGAGGCGCGAAAGCGUGGGGAGCAAACAGG
RNAcentral lists this ribosomal RNA (253 nucleotides) under uncultured bacterium. Its description in RNAcentral is "partial 16S ribosomal RNA". It matches the Rfam family "Bacterial small subunit ribosomal RNA", at positions 524 to 776 of the family's 1533-position model. The record is from RNAcentral.